AUUGAACGCUGGCGGCAGGCUUAACACAUGCAAGUCGAACGAGUGGCGGACGGGUGAGUAAUGCUUGGGAAUCUAGCUUAUGGAGGGGGAUAACUACGGGAAACUGUAGCUACUACCGCGUACCAUAGGAUGAGCCCAAGUGGGAUGAGGUAGUUGGUGUGGUAAAGGCUCACCAAGCCGACGAUCUCUAGCUGGUCUGAGAGGAUGACCGGCCACACUGGGACUGAGACAAGGCCCAGACUCCUACGGGAGGCAGCAGUGGGGAAUCUUGGGCAAUGGGGGCAACCUGACGGAGCCAUGCCGCGUGAAUGAAGAAGGCUUUCGGGUUGUAAAGUUCUUUUGUUAGCGAAGCGGUAACUACAGAAGAAGCACCGGCUAACUCCGUGCCAGCAGCCGCGGUAAUAC
Molecule: ribosomal RNA, 405 nt
Filed under: uncultured bacterium
Lineage: Bacteria
Description: partial 16S ribosomal RNA
Rfam family: Bacterial small subunit ribosomal RNA
Source: RNAcentral